Long non-coding RNA from Haliotis rufescens (red abalone), 434 nucleotides. RefSeq lists it as uncharacterized. The record is from RefSeq and is a predicted model, not a curated record. Lineage: Eukaryota; Metazoa; Mollusca; Gastropoda; Lepetellida; Haliotidae. The transcript is spliced from 3 exons.
AUAGCAGUGCCCACAUGUCUAAAGCACAUGGCAGAUUUCUGUUGCAAUCUGUCAGUUGCCAUUGGCAGGCCUGGUAAGGUCAUUAUCAAGGACAAAUUUGCGCCGGGAGUGACGUCUCGGAUGGAGGAUGUGACGUGGGGGAGGUUGAAGCAAAUGUUAAUGCUGCUUUUCCAAAUGUCGUACGUUCAAAUGAGGAUUGUGUGUACAACGACCAAAGUCAAGGUAGGACUGCUUUCAAGGGCCAGCUCAGAGGCACAGUCGCAGCCGGGCACCCGCCAUUUAUCGUCACACAUCUGCAUAUAUUCGCUGAAAGCGGUCCCGUCAGGGCAAGGGCGAUAUAUGCCUAUUUGGAAGAAACACUCGCAAUAGCGCUCGCAGUUGAAGGGGUCUCGAUACAAACCAUUCACACGUCCAAAGCAGAGAGGAUUCCGAAA